GGCGAGAGCGGGUCGCCG
RNAcentral lists this small nuclear RNA (18 nucleotides) under Arabidopsis thaliana (thale cress). RNAcentral describes it as "snRNA_14268". The record is from RNAcentral. Lineage: Eukaryota; Viridiplantae; Streptophyta; Magnoliopsida; Brassicales; Brassicaceae.